AUCCUGGUGGCGAGUGGCGAACGGGUGAGUAAUAUAUCGGAACGUGCCCAGUCGUGGGGGAUAACGCAGCGAAAGCUGUGCUAAUACCGCAUACGAUCUCUGGAUGAAAGCGGGGGACUCGCAAGGGCCUCGCGCGAUUGGAGCGGCCGAUAUCAGAUUAGCUAGUUGGUGGGGUAAAAGCCCACCAAGGCGACGAUCUGUAGCUGGUCUGAGAGGACGACCAGCCACACUGGAACUGAGACACGGUCCAGACUCCUACGGGAGGCAGCAGUGGGGAAUUUUGGACAAUGGGCGCAAGCCUGAUCCAGCAAUGCCGCGUGCAGGAUGAAGGCCUUCGGGUUGUAAACUGCUUUUGUACGGAACGAAAAGGUCUGCCUUAAUACGGUGGGCUCAUGACGGUACCGUAAGAAUAAGCACCGGCUAACUACGUGCCAGCAGCCGCGGUAAUACGUAGGGUGCGAGCGUUAAUCGGAAUUACUGGGCGUAAAGCGUGCGCAGGCGGUUAUAUAAGACAGAUGUGAAAUCCCCGGGCUCAACCUGGGACCUGCAUUUGUGACUGUAUAGCU
RNAcentral lists this ribosomal RNA (566 nucleotides) under uncultured bacterium. Its description in RNAcentral is "bacterial SSU rRNA". It matches the Rfam family "Bacterial small subunit ribosomal RNA", at positions 82 to 642 of the family's 1533-position model. The record is from RNAcentral.